AGUCGAACGAAGUAGCAAUACUUAGUGGCAGACGGGUGAGUAACAUGUAGGUAUCUGCCCUUUGGCCUGGAAUAACACGAGGAAACUUGUGCUAAUACCGGAUAAGUCUUUACGGAGAAAGCUUUAUGCACCAUUGGAUGAGCCUGCACUUGAUUAGUUUGUUGGUGGGGUAAUGGCCUACCAAGACUGUGAUCAAUAGCUGAUUUGAGAGGAUGAUCAGCCACAUUGGGACUGAGACACGGCCCAAACUCCUACGGGAGGCAGCAGUGGGGAAUCUUGCACAAUGGAGGAAACUCUGAUGCAGCGAUGCCGCGUGAGUGAAGAAGGCCCUUGGGUUGUAAAGCUCUUUCGUCGGGGAAGAAAAUGACUGUACCCGAAUAAGAAGGUCCGGCUAACUUCGUGCCAGCAGCCGCGGUAAUACGAAGGGACCUAGCGUAGUUCGGAAUUACUGGGCUUAAAGAGUUCGUAGGUGGUUGAAAAAGUUAGUGGUGAAAUCCCAGAGCUUAACUCUGGAACUGCCAUUAAAACUUUUCAGCUAGAGUAUGAUAGAGGAAAGCAGAAUUUCUAGUGUAGAGGUGAAAUUCGUAGAUAUUAGAAAGAAUACCAAUUGCGAAGGCAGCUUUCUGGAUCAUUACUGACACUGAGGAACGAAAGCAUGGGUAGCGAAGAGGAUUAGAUACCCUCGUAGUCCAUGCCGUAAACGAUGUGUGUUAGACGUUGGAAAUUUAUUUUCAGUGUCGCAGGGAAACCGAUAAACACACCGCCUGGGGAGUACGACCGCAAGGUUAAAACUCAAAUGAAUUGACGGGGACCCGCACAAGUAGUGGAGCAUGUGGUUUAAUUCGAAGAUACGCGCAGAACCUUACCAACACUUGACAUGUUCGUCGCGACUUUAAGAGAUUAAAGUUUUCGGUUCGGCCGGACGAAACACAGGUGCUGCAUGGCUGUCGUCAGCUCGUGUCGUGAGAUGUUGGGUUAAGUCCCGCAACGAGCGCAACCCUCACUUUUAGUUGCCAUCAUUAAGUUGGGCACUCUGAAAGAACUGCCAGUGAUAAGCUGGAGGAAGGUGGGGAUGACGUCAAGUCCUCAUGGCCCUUACGUGUUGGGCUACACACGUGCUACAAUGGUAUCUACAACAGGAAGCAAGACUGCGAAGUUAAGCAAAUCCCUAAAAGAUACCUCAGUUCGGAUUGCACUCUGCAACUCGAGUGCAUGAAGCUGGAAUUACUAGUAAUCGUGGAUCAGCGUGCCACGGUGAAUGCGUUCCCGGGUCUUGUACACACCGCCCGUCACACCAUGGGAGUUGGUUCUACCUUAAG
Molecule: ribosomal RNA, 1319 nt
Filed under: uncultured Pelagibacterales bacterium
Lineage: Bacteria; Pseudomonadati; Pseudomonadota; Alphaproteobacteria; Candidatus Pelagibacterales
Description: uncultured SAR11 cluster alpha proteobacterium 16S ribosomal RNA
Rfam family: Bacterial small subunit ribosomal RNA
Source: RNAcentral